CGCAUACGUCCUACGGGAGAAAGGGGGCUUCGGCUCCCGCUAUUGGAUGAGCCUAUGUCGGAUUAGCUAGUUGGUGAGGUAAAGGCUCACCAAGGCAACGAUCCGUAGCUGGUCUGAGAGGAUGAUCAGCCACAUCGGGACUGAGACACGGCCCGAACUCCUACGGGAGGCAGCAGUGGGGAAUAUUGGACAAUGGGGGCAACCCUGAUCCAGCCAUGCCGCGUGUGUGAAGAAGGCCCUCGGGUUGUAAAGCACUUUCAGCGAGGAAGAACGCCUAGCGGUUAAUACCCGUUAGGAAAGACAUCACUCGCAGAAGAAGCACCGGCUAACUCCGUGCCAGCAGCCGCGGUAAUACGGAGGGUGCAAGCGUUAAUCGGAAUUACUGGGCGUAAAGCGCGCGUAGGUGGCUUGAUAAGCCGGUUGUGAAAGCCCCGGGCUCAACCUGGGAACGGCAUCCGGAACUGUCAGGCUAGAGUGCAGGAGAGGAAGGUAGAAUUCCCGGUGUAGCGGUGAAAUGCGUAGAGAUCGGGAGGAAUACCAGUGGCGAAGGCGGCCUUCUGGACUGACACUGACACUGAGGUGCGAAAGCGUGGGUAGCAAACAGGAUUAGAUACCCUGGUAGUCCACGCCGUAAACGAUGUCGACCAGCCGUUGGGUGCCUAGAGCACUUUGUGGCGAAGUUAACGCGAUAAGUCGACCGCCUGGGGAGUACGGCCGCAAGGUUAAAACUCAAAUGAAUUGACGGGGGCCCGCACAAGCGGUGGAGCAUGUGGUUUAAUUCGAUGCAACGCGAAGAACCUUACCUACCCUUGACAUCUACAGAAGCCGGAAGAGAUUCUGGUGUGCCUUCGGGAACUGUAAGACAGGUGCUGCAUGGCUGUCGUCAGCUCGUGUUGUGAAAUGUUGGGUUAAGUCCCGUAACGAGCGCAACCCUUGUCCUUAUUUGCCAGCGAGUAAUGUCGGGAACUCUAAGGAGACUGCCGGUGACAAACCGGAGGAAGGUGGGGACGACGUCAAGUCAUCAUGGCCCUUACGGGUAGGGCUACACACGUGCUACAAUGGCCGGUACAAAGGGCUGCGAGCUCGCGAGAGUCAGCGAAUCCCUUAAAGCCGGUCUCAGUCCGGAUCGGAGUCUGCAACUCGACUCCGUGAAGUCGGAAUCGCUAGUAAUCGUGAAUCAGAAUGUCACGGUGAAUACGUUCCCGGGCCUUGUACACA
RNAcentral lists this ribosomal RNA (1218 nucleotides) under uncultured Halomonas sp. Its description in RNAcentral is "bacterial SSU rRNA". It matches the Rfam family "Bacterial small subunit ribosomal RNA", at positions 170 to 1389 of the family's 1533-position model. The record is from RNAcentral. Lineage: Bacteria; Pseudomonadati; Pseudomonadota; Gammaproteobacteria; Oceanospirillales; Halomonadaceae.